This 5031-nucleotide long non-coding RNA is filed under the name Sorghum bicolor (sorghum). RNAcentral's name for it is "long non-coding RNA (SBIC_LNC003885)". Lineage: Eukaryota; Viridiplantae; Streptophyta; Magnoliopsida; Poales; Poaceae. The record is from RNAcentral.
CUUCAUGCACCAGAAGGUGACGUCCGUGUGGCAGAGCGAGGUGCAGAUGAUCCUGACGCGGACCUCGUGCGCCCGCGGCGGCGCCACCUCCACCUCCUCCAUCUCCAGCGGCCGCCCCGGCGCCUUGCUCACCGCCGCUGCGCGACGAUCACAGCUAGGGCGCUGUUCAUACAACUAGUACAAGGCAGGAAGGAACGAAGCAGGAGAGAGAGACGGAGGUGCGCGCGGCCGGGGAGGAAGGUGCAGUGCACGCACCACACAUACCUCUGCAUCUGAUGGGCUUCGCGGCGCUCUGCUCCAUCGCCGCCGCCACGGCCACCACCCGGUCAGAGGACGCCACAGCUCUCGCUCGCUCGAGGUGCGAGUGCGAUGCGAUGAUGUCCUGUGAAGCUGUGGCAAACAGCAGGCGUGUCAAGUGGGGGUAAAGCAAAACGUAAUUUUCUACUAUCUUCUAUAAUAAUGAAGGACGAAAUUGGUUAGGUAGGUUUUUGUCUGCUCAGCUAGCUUCAGAAAUCUCAUGUGGCUCAACAGUAGCUGCGGGCUGCGGGUAGUGCCCUCACCGGCCUGCCCACGAUAUAGGUCACCGAGCUGUCAUCACCGCUAAAGAAAAAGAGCAUUGUGUUGUGGGUCUGCUUGCUUGGGUGCCAAAAACAUCAAAGGUUGAGUGCCAUAAACCUAUCAUAUUAGGACUUUAGGAGAGAUGAUGUAGUUCCAUGAUUUUGCUUGACAACUUUUGAUUUUGCUUGAUAAGGUUGAGCUGUCAUUACCGCUAAAGAAAGAGAGCAUUGUGGGUCCAUGAUUUUGCCAUAACUAUUGGUGAUGCUCUCCCAUGAUUUUGCUUGACAGCCUUUGAUUUUAGCUUGGGGAUCUGAUAUAGAGAUGCUCUUAGGACAAAAAAUGUAGAAAUGUAAUUGGUUGAGUGCCACGACAUAGUAGUGAGCAUUUUCUUUUCCUCUUAUGAGGCUGAUUGAAGAAGCUUCUAGUGGUUUUGCCAUGACUUUGGCCAUAAAAUUGAUGUGCCAUUUUUUUGGUAAUGAAUCAAUCAAUACCCAAAGUUUAUAGGUUUGUGUUUUAGUCCUUGUUUUUACUCCAGAUACUUUAUGGGUUUUAAUUUUGCACGUUUAUACAUAUGCAUGCUCUUUCAACAUUAUGUAAACUUGGUUCAACAAUAUGUGAAGCCACAACAUUUCAACACAACAUUAUGCGUGGAAAUGUUCAUUUUAAAACCUAUUUCGUCGCCACUUACAUACAUAGAUACAUAGAGUAGCAAAUUGGAGUCACGACAACAAGAUCAUUGCUGUCCACACAACACAAGUGCGCGUACGACGAUGUCCUGGCAGUCAGUCCUGCGUGCGCGCCGGCGGCACGCGGCAUCACGCGCCGUCGUUCUCCUUGGCGCCGUAGUCGUCGUCCAUCCAGAUGAUGCAGCGGAUGCACUUCCCUUGGGUGAGCAGGUCGAACGCGCGGUUUAUCUCCUGGAAACCCAUCUGGUGCGUGAUGAAGUCGUCCAGCUCCAGCUCCUGGAAAAAAAUGCAUGUCAUUCCUCCAGGCAAUCACAAUAAGGCAUGCAUGGAUCGACGACGAUGGAGCUCAUUCAUGAGCUCACAGCAUGCAGAUCCUGCGGAUGAUAUGAUCACCUUGUCUAGGUACUUGUGUGCCAGCACGGGGAUGUCGUCCUUGGGCUUGAUCCCACCGAAGAGCGAGCCGGUGACCGACCGCCCCCGCAUGAUGUCGAACGACGGCACGCUGAUCGGCGCCAAGCUGCCGUCGACGCCGAGAACGACCGUCUUCCCCCAGCCCUGCACACAACAAGAUUCAACGGUGGGCAGUGUUUUUUUUUUUCUGACACUCGUUAAAGAGAUCUUUUUGCCGAGUAUUUUUUAAAAAGCCUUUCUAUCCGGUGGUUUUUUUGUCGAAGUGUUUUUUUUUUUACUUAGAAAAAAACUUCUUUGCCGAGUGUUAAAAAAACACACUUGGCAAAGCCGAUUUCGUUAGUGCAGGCGUGCUGUGACGACCGUGCGGCCGUCCGUACCGUUCGUGAGCUUUUGAAUGCUUCCGCCAUGACUGAAACUGAACCGAUGCACUCGAAGCAGUAGUCGGCGCCUUCGCCGCCGGUCAUCUCCUUGAUGACCUGGUCGUCGUCGUGUACAUGCACCAUCGUAGGUGAGCUUGGUUGCCAGCCACAUACGUAGGUAUAUAUAUGCAUCGAAAAACAUAUAUACACACACAGGGAAAUUGCAUUGCAUUUUCAUUCAGACCUCGCUCACGGCGGUCUUCUCCGCGAUAUCAUUUGGAUUGACGAAGUCGGUGAUCCCCAUCUUCUUGCCUGCACAGGUGCAUGCGAAACAAACAACCACUCGAUCAGUGACAGUAGUAUAUAUGACCUGCCACUCACUACAAGUACUUUUACAAUUUUACCAGCUGAAGAAAAGCAAUUGGCAUACCGAUCUCGAACUUGUCAGGAUUCACGUCUACCCCGAUGAUCCUCUUAGCUCCUCGCAUCUUGGCCCCUUGCGCUACCUACACAGUUCAUUGGUUCAGGCAUCGUCCGGUCGCUAUCCAGUUCAUAUAUUGGAUGAUCCAUCCCAGUCAACGGACGGAUCAUCACGCAACAUCAGAUUAUGAGAUAUACAAAAUGAACACGUGUGGUGUGUGUCGUCGUUCCAAAACUUGUAGACAACGACAAUUCGAUGUUUGUGUGUGUUAAUUAUAAUUUCCGUUGGUGUUGGUCUUGGCGUAUCGCACGGAGAGCGACACAACAGCUAUUCAGCUAACGGAGCACAUCAACAAAACAUCAGUUGGGGCUGUCGUCGUCGUCGUUACCGCUAACCCAACAGCUCCUAGUCCAAAGACGGCUACGGUGGAGCCGGGCUCCACCGCCGCAACCUUCCAAGUCGCACCAACUCCUGCACAUGCAUAUGGAUGCAGAUGCAGCACGGCAUCGUCAGCCGGGUGAUGACGCGAACAGACAACGAUCGACCCACGAAAUCCGGCAAUGUGUGUACGUGCGCGCGCGUACCGGUGGUGACGCCGCAGCUGAGCAGGCACGCCUUCUCCGGCGGCAGCGCGGGGGCGGGGCCGACGACGUCGAGCUUGACGAGGUGCGCGACGUCCACCACCGUGUACUCGGCGAAGCUGGAGACGCACAGGAAGCUGUGGACGGGCUCGCCAGUGGCGGCGAGCGAGAAGCGCGUGGUGCCGUCCCGCGGCAUGACGCCGGGGCGGUACGGCAGCGCGGAGCAGAUGUUGCUGCGGGCGGAGACGCAGUCGGCGCACUCCCCGCACUGCGGCAGGAACACCGGCACCACCGCGUCGCCCACGCCCACUUCGUGCACAUGGUCCCCCACGCUCUCCACCACACUAGUGCACAUGAGUUGUUCAGUUGACCAUCGUUGCGUGCGCCUUGGAAGCAGGGAGCAUAUAUAAUGAUGUCUAUCUCAUCCACGCUAACUUAUCUUAUCCUAACCCACUCUUUAUCUUACCUCCUAAUAAAAUAUAAAAUGAGGUUUGACCUACGUGAACAUUUUGAUAACCAAUUUAUUUUAUACUCUCUUAGUCUCCGAAUAAGUCAAUUUCUGACUAACUUUUUAGAAAAAAGUAGAACAUGUAUAUGAUAUAAACUGAACCUAUUAUAAAAAUAUAUUUGAUGGUAUAUAGUAUAUAUGUAAUGAUACUAGUUUGACGUUAUAAAUCUUUACAGAUUUUGCUAGAAAUUGGUCAAAGUUUUAAAAACUUAGCUUAAACAACUUUAGAAAUCUAUUUAUUCAGAGAUAGAGAGGAUGUUGACUAUUCUUUUCUUCUUUGUACUUGCGAUCAAGCGAUGUUGGCUAUUGGAGUACAUAUAAAGCAUGCGUUCAUGUAUGUGUCACUAUGAUUUCAAUAUCCUGGAAGCACUUUUUCUUUUACCCGAUUGCUUCAUGGCCCAGGAUGGAUGGAAACAUGGCCGGAAAAUCCUGAAAAAAGAAUAAAAAUUGUAUAUAUAUUUACGGAAAUACGUGAAUUUAUAGAAAAUAAAUAAUUCGGUGCUGAAAACGUCUCUUUGAUGAAAAAGAGAGAAGCCAAAAAAAAACUAUUUAGAAGUUUUUCAAACAUCUUAGAUGAUGCAUAUUCAUAGUAUAUCCAAAUUAUAUGUUUUUGUUUUUCACAUCGCACGCCGAAUAUUUUCUGGCACACUCAGCACGCAACUCACGUCGUUUCGCAAUAAGAUAAACAAAAGUUGAUGCUUUGGAAGGGUCAGUGGCUAAAUCUGAUGCUUGGAGCAGAUUCAUUGGAGCUAUAUAUACAAAAAGGUUUAAAUGCAACUAGUAGACCUGUUCUUUUGACUUUAUUAGCCGAAUCUAACAUUCAUUCAAUAGUAUUUUUAUACAAGAAACCAGUCAACAUUAUUUUCUAUCAUAGCUUAUCAGCUAAACAAACAAUAUUGGUUUUAGUAGAGAACUGACAAACCACAUCUCUACCUUUUCUCUGUAUCUCUGUCUCUAUAACUUUUUUUUUUAAUUGUAACUGUUUUAGCUUUUUGGCUUUUAAUAAAUUUCCUGUAGGGUGCAAACCACCCUAAUUUCAUAAAAAAAAAUUAUAUCUCUACUUAGGUUACGAGCGAAAAGCUAAAAACACCCGUUGACCAUAGCUCUCUUAGUCUGAAGUCUUUAGUCACCAAAUUACCCUAGAUUCACUUCUCACAACUCUUCUCUCCUAUCAGAAUCAUUCUAUAUCGAAGAAAAUCGAAAAUUAAAACUCAAAAAAUCAUGAGAUGAAACUCUACCAAAACACUUAACCGAUUUGAUCCGUACCUUCAUGCGCCAGAAGGUGAUGUCCGUGUGGCAGAGCGAGGUGCAGAUGAUCCUGACGCGGACCUCGUGCGCCCGCGGCGGCGCCACCUCCACCUCCUCCAUCUCCAGCGGCUGCCCCGCCGCCUUGCUCACCGCCGCUGCGCGAUCGACGACGAGACGAUCACAAGGCCGCCCGCUUGGCGCUUGCAGACACUCAGACACUCAUGGAAAGGCAUGUGUGUAGAGUCAGUGUAGACGUACC